This is a long non-coding RNA of Perca fluviatilis (European perch), 1165 nucleotides long. RefSeq lists it as uncharacterized. NCBI's taxonomy places the organism in Eukaryota, Metazoa, Chordata, Actinopteri, Perciformes, Percidae. The transcript is spliced from 3 exons. The record is from RefSeq and is a predicted model, not a curated record.
AGAGGAAAGGAGGAUGUAAAGGGCAAAAUUAAGUGUGAACCCUCAUGUGAAAGAGCAUGUGUGUGGCAGGCGGCGUGGCUGGCUUCUCCAGGCAGCAGUCAAGGCGCACCUGCUUUCCAUCAUCUCAUCACCCACCCCAGUUAAGCCUGGUCUUCACUCCACUGCUCUGCCAGAUUAUUCCGUCAUGUUCGCUUUAUGUUGGUGCCACGCUGCUGUUUCCAGUUCCUGGUUUUCAACGCCUGUUUUUCCACUCUGCCUCUGAGGACAUCUCCCACAGCUCCCUGUCGCCACUGCUCCUACAAGAGACACUUUUCGUUCAAAUCAUAAUAUUAAUACAGUCUAUGGUUCAAAUACACUUUUUGUACCCUACCAAACCAGCUCCGGUUCUCUGCUUUAGGGUCCAACUUUACUAAGAGCCUAGCAGUGGCUUGAGUGUGUCUGAGUGAAAGAAUACCAUUUUUAAUAGUCCAAUAAACUAAUGUUAACAAAUAGAUUUCCAACUCUAGUCAAUAAAUGUUUAAUGAUAGCAGUGAAUAAUUAUGUUUCUACUCAAUAUUAAUACUUUUUAACUAAUAUUUUUGAGGUAGACAUUUAAAAUAUUCAAGUCAUUGGUAGAAGACUGCAUCCGGACCCAAAGUUGGUCAUUUUGUGCAUGACGGAGGGACUGAACACACUGAGAAAAUUUCAGAAACAUAGUCUCAUAACAGUGAUCAAGGUUUAUGCCUCCACACUGGAAGAAACCUGAAACUCCCUCAAUAAAAUAUCAAUCAAUGACUUAAUAACCCUUCUGCAUCUGGAGAGAAUCAGGUUGGAUCUAAAAGACAAGCUGGCAGAUUUCUCCCAUUUGGUCUCCCAUUGUUAAGUUUCUGGGAGGAGCCCACACUGACUUUACUCAUUUUACACCAUCAUAUGAAUAUGAAGAGAGCAGCAGCUUGUUGUAGCUCAAUGCACUAUAUGUAGGCCUAUGGAACUAACUGCAACCCUCACCCUGUCUUAUUUUGUUCUUCCAUCUUUUUCCCACUAUUUCUCUUAAGUCCAACUUGAUUUUAAUAUAAGUACUAGCACUUGUUUGUCCACCAUUUGUCUGGUUGGUUAUGUGUGCAUUUAUGUUCUCAGUUCUACCACUUGUUCGAAGCCACUGUAAUGCAUCACUGUUUCUACUAAA